GUUAAGCGAUUUAUAGUGAAACUGCGAAUGGCUCAUUAAAACAGUUAUAGUUUAUUUGAUAAUCGAAUUUUACAUGGAUAACCGUGGUAAUUCUAGAGCUAAUACAUGCUGUUAAGCCUGACUUUUUGGAAGGGCUGUAUUUAUUAGAUACAAACCAAUAUUCCUUCGGGUCUAUUGUGAUGAUUCAAUAUAACUGAUCGAAUCGCAUGGUCUUGCACCGCGAUAAAUCAUUCAAGUUUCCGCCCCAUCAGCUUUCGAUGGUAGUGUAUUGGACUACCAUGGCUUUCACGGGUAACGGAGGAUUAGGGUUCGAUUCCGGAGAGGGAGCCUGAGAAACGGCUACCACAUCUAAGGAAGGCAGCAGGCGCGUAAAUUACCCAAUCCUGACUCAGGGAGGUAGUGACAAGAAAUAACAGACCGGAGCCUACGGUUCCGGGAUUGCAAUGAGUACAAUUUAGACUCCUUAACAAGUAACAAUU
RNAcentral lists this ribosomal RNA (479 nucleotides) under uncultured eukaryote. Its description in RNAcentral is "SSU rRNA". It matches the Rfam family "Eukaryotic small subunit ribosomal RNA", at positions 63 to 549 of the family's 1831-position model. The record is from RNAcentral.